Molecule: ribosomal RNA, 2906 nt
Filed under: Klebsiella michiganensis
Lineage: Bacteria; Pseudomonadati; Pseudomonadota; Gammaproteobacteria; Enterobacterales; Enterobacteriaceae
Description: 23S ribosomal RNA
Rfam family: Bacterial large subunit ribosomal RNA
Source: RNAcentral
GGUUAAGCGACUAAGCGUACACGGUGGAUGCCCUGGCAGUCAGAGGCGAUGAAGGACGUGCUAAUCUGCGAAAAGCGUCGGUAAGGUGAUAUGAACCGUUAUAGCCGGCGAUGUCCGAAUGGGGAAACCCAGUGCAAUUCGUUGCACUAUCGUUAACUGAAUACAUAGGUUAACGAGGCGAACCGGGGGAACUGAAACAUCUAAGUACCCCGAGGAAAAGAAAUCAACCGAGAUUCCCCCAGUAGCGGCGAGCGAACGGGGAGCAGCCCGGAGUCUGAAUCAGCUUGUGUGUUAGUGGAAGCGUCUGGAAAGUCGCAGGGUACAGGGUGAUACUCCCGUACACUAAAACACACAGGUUGUGAACUCGAAGAGUAGGGCGGGACACGUGGUAUCCUGUCUGAAUAUGGGGGGACCAUCCUCCAAGGCUAAAUACUCCUGACUGACCGAUAGUGAACCAGUACCGUGAGGGAAAGGCGAAAAGAACCCCGGCGAGGGGAGUGAAAAAGAACCUGAAACCGUGUACGUACAAGCAGUAGGAGCCCACUUGUUGGGUGACUGCGUACCUUUUGUAUAAUGGGUCAGCGACUUAUAUUCUGUAGCAAGGUUAACCGUAUAGGGGAGCCGCAGGGAAACCGAGUCUUAACUGGGCGUUAAGUUGCAGGGUAUAGACCCGAAACCCGGUGAUCUAGCCAUGGGCAGGUUGAAGGUUGGGUAACACUAACUGGAGGACCGAACCGACUAAUGUUGAAAAAUUAGCGGAUGACUUGUGGCUGGGGGUGAAAGGCCAAUCAAACCGGGAGAUAGCUGGUUCUCCCCGAAAGCUAUUUAGGUAGCGCCUCGUGAAUUCAUCUUCGGGGGUAGAGCACUGUUUCGGCUAGGGGGUCAUCCCGACUUACCAACCCGAUGCAAACUACGAAUACCGAAGAAUGUUAUCACGGGAGACACACGGCGGGUGCUAACGUCCGUCGUGAAGAGGGAAACAACCCAGACCGCCAGCUAAGGUCCCAAAGUCAUGGUUAAGUGGGAAACGAUGUGGGAAGGCCCAGACAGCCAGGAUGUUGGCUUAGAAGCAGCCAUCAUUUAAAGAAAGCGUAAUAGCUCACUGGUCGAGUCGGCCUGCGCGGAAGAUGUAACGGGGCUAAACCAUGCACCGAAGCUGCGGCAGCGACACUAUGUGUUGUUGGGUAGGGGAGCGUUCUGUAAGCCGUUGAAGGUGGCCUGUGAGGGUUGCUGGAGGUAUCAGAAGUGCGAAUGCUGACAUAAGUAACGAUAAUGCGGGUGAAAAACCCGCACGCCGGAAGACCAAGGGUUCCUGUCCAACGUUAAUCGGGGCAGGGUGAGUCGACCCCUAAGGCGAGGCCGAAAGGCGUAGUCGAUGGGAAACAGGUUAAUAUUCCUGUACUCGGUGUUACUGCGAAGGGGGGACGGAGAAGGCUAUGUUGGCCGGGCGACGGUUGUCCCGGUUUAAGCAUGUAGGCGGAUGUUCCAGGUAAAUCCGGAACGUCACUAACGCUGAGGUGUGAUGACGAGGCACUACGGUGCUGAAGUGACAAAUGCCCUGCUUCCAGGAAAAGCCUCUAAGCAUCAGGUAACAUCAAAUCGUACCCCAAACCGACACAGGUGGUCAGGUAGAGAAUACCAAGGCGCUUGAGAGAACUCGGGUGAAGGAACUAGGCAAAAUGGUGCCGUAACUUCGGGAGAAGGCACGCUGAUGGUAGGUGAAGCGACUUGCUCGUGGAGCUGAAAUCAGUCGAAGAUACCAGCUGGCUGCAACUGUUUAUUAAAAACACAGCACUGUGCAAACACGAAAGUGGACGUAUACGGUGUGACGCCUGCCCGGUGCCGGAAGGUUAAUUGAUGGGGUUAUCCGUAAGGAGAAGCUCUUGAUCGAAGCCCCGGUAAACGGCGGCCGUAACUAUAACGGUCCUAAGGUAGCGAAAUUCCUUGUCGGGUAAGUUCCGACCUGCACGAAUGGCGUAAUGAUGGCCAGGCUGUCUCCACCCGAGACUCAGUGAAAUUGAACUCGCUGUGAAGAUGCAGUGUACCCGCGGCAAGACGGAAAGACCCCGUGAACCUUUACUAUAGCUUGACACUGAACACUGGUCCUUGAUGUGUAGGAUAGGUGGGAGGCUUUGAAGUGUGGACGCCAGUCUGCAUGGAGCCAUCCUUGAAAUACCACCCUUUAAUGGCUGGUGUUCUAACGUGGGCCCCUAAUCGGGGUUGCGGACAGUGUCUGGUGGGUAGUUUGACUGGGGCGGUCUCCUCCUAAAGAGUAACGGAGGAGCACGAAGGUCAGCUAAUCCUGGUCGGACAUCAGGAGGUUAGUGCAAUGGCAUAAGCUGGCUUGACUGCGAGCGUGACGGCGCGAGCAGGUGCGAAAGCAGGUCAUAGUGAUCCGGUGGUUCUGAAUGGAAGGGCCAUCGCUCAACGGAUAAAAGGUACUCCGGGGAUAACAGGCUGAUACCGCCCAAGAGUUCAUAUCGACGGCGGUGUUUGGCACCUCGAUGUCGGCUCAUCACAUCCUGGGGCUGAAGUAGGUCCCAAGGGUAUGGCUGUUCGCCAUUUAAAGUGGUACGCGAGCUGGGUUUAGAACGUCGUGAGACAGUUCGGUCCCUAUCUGCCGUGGGCGCUGGAGAAUUGAGGGGGGCUGCUCCUAGUACGAGAGGACCGGAGUGGACGCAUCACUGGUGUUCGGGUUGUCAUGCCAAUGGCAUUGCCCGGUAGCUAAAUGCGGAAGAGAUAAGUGCUGAAAGCAUCUAAGCACGAAACUUGCCCCGAGAUGAGUUCUCCCUGACCCUUUAAGGGUCCUGAAGGAACGUUGAAGACGACGACGUUGAUAGGCCGGGUGUGUAAGCGCAGCGAUGCGUUGAGCUAACCGGUACUAAUGAACCGUGAGGCUUAACCUU